GUGGGGCCCAGACCCGCGCAACCAGGCGGGGAGGGGAGGUGGGCGCGCGAUUGGGUUGCGAUCUGGAGCAUUGGGGACAGGUCAGGAACCGGCGCGUAUUUCUGCAGUGAGACCACAGGACGGACAUCGGCGCCUUCGGCUUCGAUGGAGUUGCGAUUUUGCUCUUUCCAGGGAAACAGUGGCAGGGUGUUUGCUGCUUAUCGGUUCCUGCGGAUAUGCCUGGGUCCCAGGACAUUCCACUGGAGGCUUGGACUGCAUUUAGGAGCCCCUAUCCCUUCCCUGUCCACACUGUUAGUGAGCAAUUUCAUAUGUUUGCAUGUAGACCCAUAGACUCAGAACGACUCAUCACACACACACACAGUGUACACUGACACACUCACAUUCGCACACUUAGGUAUACAGCCUGAUCCUUGCUCUGACCUGGUAACAACGCUUCCUCCUCCAGAGACUUUGAGAUAGAGCGAGCGAUCCGUGUGCACCAUUCAUCCAUGCUCCCACCUCGCCAGUAUGGCUGGCUUGUUCUGGAAGGGGCUUAAGAGGAACAAGCCCCAGCUGUGCUUCUGGCUGGGACUUAAACCCCCCUUCUGGGCCCUAAAGCCACGCUUCUUUGUGGACCGGACCUGACUCUCCAGGAAUCUGGGAACUCGCUAUUUCACUCUAUUUUGGGACAAGAAAAAGGGGCUCUUUGGGGCCACUUCCUGCCUUCCCCUCAAGUAGGAUCUCCAGCCUGCAGAGGGUGCCUAGUCCUUCUUUGCCCAAGAACCAGCCCAAGAAGCCUUUCCUCUGUGCCUGGGAAAUGCAACCUUUUCUUGGGAGCAUGGUAGGGUGUUGGUGCUGAAGAACCAAGCAGCGACACGUCUUGCAGCUGCCAUGUUUUGUCGAGGGGUUCUGGGGGUCCUGCUGCCUUAGAGCCACAUACUUCCACUUCCUGAUUCACUACUGUGAGCUGGUCAGAUGCCUAGAAGAGGAACAAGCGUUCAAAGUGAAAGUGGGCACAUUACCGGAAUAGUGCUGGGGAGAGUGCUGGAUUCUUUUCCACCCCAGGCGGACUGGUGAGAAGCCAGGCUUGGACCUGUCCUCUGCUCCUAGCUUGCACACUCAGCCCUAAACUCAGAGCAGCACGCAUACCACCCCUCAUACACACCCCACCAUCUGCUCUCUAAGGCCCCUGGGCUUCCUGCAGGAUCCAGACCAAUGUGGCUGGGCUUGGGCUUUUAUCUGUCCUGAUCCUGGAUUUGUCCUGACCAAUGUAAGUGUCGCCCAAUAAAACCUUCUAUGACCCCCA
RNAcentral lists this antisense RNA (1285 nucleotides) under Pan troglodytes (chimpanzee). The stretch from base 29 to 85 matches the Rfam family "HOXA transcript at the distal tip, conserved region 1". Lineage: Eukaryota; Metazoa; Chordata; Mammalia; Primates; Hominidae. The record is from RNAcentral.